This 487-nucleotide ribosomal RNA is filed under the name uncultured bacterium. RNAcentral's name for it is "bacterial SSU rRNA". It matches the Rfam family "Bacterial small subunit ribosomal RNA", at positions 28 to 507 of the family's 1533-position model. The record is from RNAcentral.
GAUGAACGCUAGCUACAGGCUUAACACAUGCAAGUUGAGGGGCAGCAUGGUCUUAGCUUGCUAAGGCCGAUGGCGACCGGCGCACGGGUGAGUAACACGUAUCCAACCUGCCGUCUACUCUUGGACAGCCUUCUGAAAGGAAGAUUAAUACAAGAUGGCAUCAUGAGUCCGCAUGUUCACAUGAUUAAAGGUAUUCCGGUAGACGAUGGGGAUGCGUUCCAUUAGAUAGUAGGCGGGGUAACGGCCCACCUAGCCGACGAUGGAUAGGGGUUCUGAGAGGAAGGUCCCCCACAUUGGAACUGAGACACGGUCCAAACUCCUACGGGAGGCAGCAGUGAGGAAUAUUGGUCAAUGGACGAGAGUCUGAACCAGCCAAGUAGCGUGAAGGAUGAAGGUCCUACGGAUUGAAACUUCUUUAUAAGGGAAUAAACCCUCCACGUGUGGGANCUUGUAUGUACCUUAUGAAUAAGCAUCGGCUAACUCCGUG